RNAcentral lists this small RNA (107 nucleotides) under Marmota monax (woodchuck). Lineage: Eukaryota; Metazoa; Chordata; Mammalia; Rodentia; Sciuridae. The record is from RNAcentral.
GUUGGGUGUGGUCAUGCACACCUGUAAUCCCCACUACUUGGGAGGCUGAGAGAGGAGGAGCCCAAGUUCAAGGCCAGCCUGAGCACCUCAGGGAGACUCUGUCUCAA